AACUAUCAUCAGAAAUCACAUCCACAAAUCACUACCUUCUCAAGUUUUUCAAAAAGAUCAUCACUGCUCACGUUCCUUCUUCCUCUUCCCCCACUCUCAUCCGUAUUCAGUGAGAUUCAUCCCAGUAACCGGCACCUAAGCCAUCAUCACUCCGGUCAUAGCAACUUCUCCUCCUCUCCUCGGUGACGACUCAGUAUCUCCAUAGCGUUUGUUCCCUAAUUUUCAUCUUCACAAGCAACUAGGUCUCCCCUUAUCUUCACCUGGCUGCCCUCAUCGCCAUUCCAGGUUAGUGAAGAGAACUCUUGAUGGGUCAACGUAUGGGCAUGUCUCAUGAUUGCACGCUUUGUUAAGCAUUGCAGCUCAAAUUCAAUCCCGCAGAGCUUAAUUUGGAAGAGAAUUAGAGGGAACAUGAGGAGGGUAUGGGUAUCAUGGAGUGUGAGGGGCUUAUGUCAAUCAUCGAAAAGGAAGGUUGUCAUGCAGUCUUUGAAGAAGCUGAAACCUGGAUUGAUUUUGUUCCAGAAUACUAAACUCGAUGACAGCAAGGAGAAAUUCUUUGAUGACUGAACUUUACCUCUGAAUAUGGAAUUUAUAUCGGUACCAGCAGAAGGCUCAUCAGGGGACUUGCCAUAUUCUGGAAACGUGACUGCUUUGUGAUCAAUAGGGUGAUAAAAAAUCAAAGAUUUCUUCUUAUGGAGGUAAGCUUUUUGCUAAACUUCAGUGGUAUUAGAGUAAAUGUGAAAACAAAGAGAUCCUAAAAGAAUGAUUGGGUUGUCCCUCCGGCUGGCGUACUAAAUUUUAAUGUGGAUGGUUCGGCUUUGGGAGCGCCUUGCAAAAGUGGUUUUGGAGGAGUUCUUAAAGAUUCAAAGAGACAAGUGGUGGGGAUUUUUUUCAAAGGCUCUGGGGAAACUUUGUGCUUAUGAAGCCGAGGUUAAAGCUAUCCUUCAAGGGUUGAUUUUCUGCCAGCAACAUCAACUAAAUCACAUUCUGAUUGAAAGUGAUUCGACACUAGCUGUGGGUACCACAUCAAACCAAGCUAACAGGCCUUGGAGACUAAUUCAGAACUUGAAUCUCAUAGAUGCUAUGAGUGUGGAGGUUGAUUGCAUAGGCAUUAAGCACAUAUACGGUGAAUCUCAUAGAUGCUUUGAGUGUGGAGGUUGAUUUCAUAGACAUUAAGCACAUAUACCGUGAAUUGAAUUCCAUCGCUGAUUUUUUUGGCAAAGUCUGGUUGCCAUAGGGAGUCAAACAUAUGGUCCUCCUUUGGCUAAAACUCCGGCAUAAAGCUGUUUUCAAUGUCUGAUAUACUGCUCGGACAUAUUGAUUUUGCUGGUUCAAUUAGGCCUGAUCUGAUAAGUUUUAUGUAGAGGUGUGCUGGAAUUUUAGAGUGCCUGAGGAGCUUAUCAUUCUAUUUCUUGCUGCAGAUUUUUGAGGCCUCGGUUCAGAUCAUUUUUUUUUUGUCUUAUUAGCUCUAAAUGAUAUUGAAGGCUCUUCAUGUGGGAUUCUAAGGUGUACUGUUAUGUUGCUUAGCUUUUGUCACAGGAUUCUAAUGAGCUACUUGAUUGUCAUGGUCUCUCCUCAAAGUUUCUGAAGAAUGCUCCUUCUCUCUUUUCUAUUCGAUUCAUUUGCAGGUUAAGCAUGCUCAGAGGUGUUCGGGCUGCCUCUUCAGGUUAGAAAGCUGAAAGAAAUUAUGAGCAUUGAAGCCAAGUAAGAGAAGAAGGAUCUAAAUUCUAAGAACUAUCCUUCAUCUGAUACUCAGGUCUGUCAUGCAUAAUAAAGUUGAGCUUUAGGCAGUUUUCAAUUUUUGUCUAAAUGGAAGAAAGUGGGUGAUCUGCCUUGUGCUUCAAACAGUUCAGCUCUGAAGCAUAAGCAAAAGUGAAUGAGCUCAGUUUCAAUCUGCCUAACCAUUGCUAAUAAGGUGUAUCUUGAAGGACUAAAACGAAUUGGGAAGGGUUGAUGUAUGCUGAUAGAUGUUUAGAGAGGCUGAAGAAUUACCUGCAACUUUGGCAGCAAGUAAGGGACAAGUAGUGGAAGGUACUAAUUAGUGGAAAAGUUUGAAGAAAAAUGAAAUGUGAAAAAUGUUGUCUUGGAAGUGAAUGUUCGAAUCUACUUGACGUUAUCCUUGGAGCAAGGCAAAGGAAAAUGGUUUCUUUGACUGACCUUUGACAAAUCAAAUUUGAGUGUUACUGAAAGUCUGGGAAAAGGAAAAUGGGAGGGCAGUCAAAUUUGAGAGUCUGGGUGCAACAAGGAAAAUCAAAUUUGGUCAUUGUUUUAAUACUCAUUGAUAAUUAUGAGUUUUCUUCUUUGUGUUAUCUUCUACUUUAUAGAGCUGGAUGGGUGGUGUCUUCUUAAGAUUAUGCAUGGACUAAAGAAAUUCUGGAGUGUAUCUACUUUUGUUGGUUCUGAAUAGAGUUUUGAGUGAUCUGUAAUAAAGGGACAUGUACUCUUCCCUCUUGGUCUUAUCUCUCGCAGAUAGCCUCCACCUUUCUAUCCUUCUCUUUAUUUUUUCAUUUGUGCCUUGAUCUGAGAUAGAACUGGGAUGGAUUUAUUUUGUAUUGGUGGUGGGGCUGCCACGUGAUGAUGUACUACAUUGGGGUUGUUUCUUUUUUUCAUACAUUGUAAUUGAGGUUUAUGUACUUAGCAUUGUUGUUGGAACUUGGGAAAGUGUGUUCCCAAGCUUUCUUUGUCUAUCAAUUCAAUAUUUGUGCUUAAAAAAGUCUAUGAAAUUGGAGAACGAUUAAAGUCAA
This is a long non-coding RNA of Lotus japonicus, 2741 nucleotides long. RefSeq lists it as uncharacterized. The transcript has 8 exons. The record is from RefSeq and is a predicted model, not a curated record. NCBI's taxonomy places the organism in Eukaryota, Viridiplantae, Streptophyta, Magnoliopsida, Fabales, Fabaceae.